This 580-nucleotide long non-coding RNA is filed under the name Lupinus angustifolius (narrow-leaved blue lupine). Its description in RNAcentral is "long non-coding RNA (LANG_LNC002180)". The record is from RNAcentral. Lineage: Eukaryota; Viridiplantae; Streptophyta; Magnoliopsida; Fabales; Fabaceae.
UGAAAUCAUGAUUUAAGUUCUUUAACCUUCUUGCGUAUUUAUCUUGGUGCCUUUAUGGCUUUUUAUGAAGGAAAUUAUAGGUCAUAGUCUUAGAGGCUAGAAAUAUAAUUAAGUAAGCUCUUCCUGCAAUUUAAUAUAUUAUUGGUCGUAUAGCCGAAAAUCAGGGUGUGACAAAAAAGAUAGUGGCGACUUCCAAAGAGGUUGCGUAGCCGAAAAUCGGGGCGCGACAAAAACAAAGUGGUGACUCCCAAAGAGGUCGCGUAGCCAAAAAUCUGGGCGCGGCAAAAAAUGUAUGGCGACUCCCAGAGAGGUCGUGUAGCCAAAAAUUGAGGCGCGAUAAAAUACCUAGUGGUGACUCCCAAAGAGGUUGCGUAGCCGAAAAUCGGGGCGCGAUAAAAAAUCUAGUGGUGACUCCCAAAGAGGUCGUGUAGCCGAAAAUCAGAGCGCGACAAAAAUCAUAGUGCCGACUCCCAAAAAGAUCGGGUAGCCAAAAAUCGGAGCGCGAUAAAAAACAUAGUAACGACUCCAAGAAAAGUCGCGUAGCCGGAAAUUAUGGUGCGAAACUAUUUAUAUUACCUUU